Non-coding RNA from Caenorhabditis elegans, 150 nucleotides. The record is from Ensembl. Lineage: Eukaryota; Metazoa; Nematoda; Chromadorea; Rhabditida; Rhabditidae.
AGCACUAAUAGAGAAUAUACGGUAACUUGGGUGCCGCUAAACCUAGGCUUGCCAAAAUUUUGCCCAACAUUUGCCUUAAUACUUUUUAGGCCAAACUUGGGCAAGAAACUAGCGAGAAAUGAAAUAAAUUUUGGCAUCUUUAGAAGCUUC